AUACGUAGGGUGCGAGCGUUGUCCGGAAUUACUGGGCGUAAAGAGCUCGUAGGUGGUUUGUCGCGUCGUCUGUGAAAUUCCGGGGCUUAACUCCGGGCGUGCAGGCGAUACGGGCAUAACUUGAGUACUGUAGGGGAGACUGGAAUUCCUGGUGUAGCGGUGAAAUGCGCAGAUAUCAGGAGGAACACCGGUGGCGAAGGCGGGUCUCUGGGCAGUAACUGACGCUGAGGAGCGAAAGCUUUGGUAGCGAACAGGAUUAGAUCCCCUGGUAGUCCAUGCCGUAAACGGUGGGCGCUAGGUGUAGGGGUCUUCCACGACUUCUGUGCCGUAGCUAACGCAUUAAGCGCCCCGCCUGGGGCGUACGGCCGCAAGGCUAAAACUCAAAUGAAUUGACGGGG
Molecule: ribosomal RNA, 398 nt
Filed under: uncultured bacterium
Lineage: Bacteria
Description: partial 16S ribosomal RNA
Rfam family: Bacterial small subunit ribosomal RNA
Source: RNAcentral